This 261-nucleotide ribosomal RNA is filed under the name uncultured archaeon. RNAcentral's name for it is "partial 16S ribosomal RNA". It matches the Rfam family "Archaeal small subunit ribosomal RNA", at positions 748 to 1009 of the family's 1478-position model. The record is from RNAcentral.
CAGCCGUAAACGAUACUCGCUAGGUGUCGGCCACGGUGCGACCGUUGUCGGUGCCGUAGGGAAGCCGUGAAGCGAGCCACCUGGGAAGUACGGCCGCAAGGCUGAAACUUAAAGGAAUUGGCGGGGGAGCACAACAACGGGUGGAGCUUGCGGUUUAAUUGGAUUCAACGCCGGAAAUCUUACCGGGACCGACAGCAACAUGGAGGCCAAGCUGAAGACUUUGCCGGAUUAGCUGAGAGGAGGUGCAUGGCGUAGACGUCU